GCCUACGGGAGGCAGCAGUGGGGAAUCUUGCACAAUGGGGGAAACCCUGAUGCAGCGACGCCGCGUGAGUGAUGAAGCCCUUCGGGGUGUAAAGCUCUUUCGGCAGGGACGAUAAUGACGGUACCUGCAGAAGAAGCUGCGGCUAACUACGUGCCAGCAGCCGCGGUAAUACGUAGGCAGCAAGCGUUGUUCGGAAUUACUGGGCGUAAAGAGUGCGUAGGCGGUUUGGCAAGUUUGGUGUGAAAUCUCCCGGCUUAACUGGGAGGGUGCGCCGAAAACUGUCAGGCUAGAGUGUGGGAGAGGAAAGUGGAAUUCCUGGUGUAGCGGUGAAAUGCGUAGAUAUCAGGAGGAACACCUGCGGUGUAGACGGCUUUCUGGACCACUACUGACGCUGAGGCACGAAAGCGUGGGGAGCAAACAGGAUUAGAUACCCUGGUAGUCCACGCCCUAAACGAUGCAGACUUGGUGUUGGCCCUUCAUUGGGUCAGUGCCGAAGCUAACGCGGUAAGUCUGCCGCCUGGGGAGUACGGUCGCAAGGCU
RNAcentral lists this ribosomal RNA (540 nucleotides) under uncultured Acidobacteriaceae bacterium. RNAcentral describes it as "bacterial SSU rRNA". It matches the Rfam family "Bacterial small subunit ribosomal RNA", at positions 337 to 895 of the family's 1533-position model. The record is from RNAcentral. Lineage: Bacteria; Pseudomonadati; Acidobacteriota; Terriglobia; Terriglobales; Acidobacteriaceae.